UUCGCGCGCAGAUCGACGAGCUGCGAGGCGAGAUGCGUCAAAUCAAGGAACAAUACGACGAGAAACGAGCCUCCAACGCAACCGAUACAAUCAGCACCGAGGAGGUAGUCUGGAGACAGGAGCUCGAUAUGGAGGUUCGCGAACAAUGCCGGCUUAAGUCAGUUGCAGCUGAUCACUCGAUGGUCAUGGAUUGAUAAAAGCGAUCGCAUGGCGUCGUCGUUAUUGAUCGUGAUGUAACGUCAAUAUGACGAGCUUGCAGCGGGAAUACAUGAAGGUUGUGCUGCUCGGCGAUCGUAUGACCGGCAAAACUAGCCUCAUGAAAAGAUACUUCCUCAAUCAGUAUAAUAUUGGUGAACAAGCGACGAUCGGUGCGGCAUUCGAGUCGAAGAUUUUUGACAUCGACGGCAAAGAAUAUCAGAUGGGUGUCUGGGACACGAGUGGCGAGGAAAGGUACCAGUCGGUCUGCAAACUGUACUAUCGUAAUGCAACAGCAGCGAUAGUAUGCUAUGAUGUGACCCUCGAGAAUACCUUCCGGAAACUCAAUUACUGGAUCAACGAGGUACGUCAAGUCGAGGAGAACUGCCGUAUAUUCAUGUGCGCCACUAAAAGUGAUUUACUUCAGCAAUUCGAAGCUAAUCCAAAACUCAGUCUUGCGCAAGAUUAUGCCAGGAUCAACGGACUCAAGUUCUUCUUGACUUCGAGUAAAACUGGCGAAAACGUUGAAACCCUAUUCAACGAGGUAUUAGAUGACUGUAUUUCCGAGUACCGUGAUACUCCUCGUCGAAAUACGAUAAGACUUCCAUCAAAUACUCGUCGCUGGCGGCAAAGAACGAAAAAUUGCUGCUCUAAACGUUGAUCUCAAAUAGUAGCAAACACAACUCAAUCAUACUACAUCUGCCUCAGAAAUUCAUAGAACAAAUUUAUGAAGUGAUAGAAAUUAAAUUCUAAAAAUAACGAACCUAAUUCAGACAGAGCAUCUGGAUAUUCUUCGUCAUUCUCUUUAUUACACUCAGGUGGUGUACAAAAACUCCUGAUUUUGUAAGCCUUUGCUCUAUUGGAAAUUCAAUCAAAUUCAGAAGCUGCCAUCGAGUCAUGAGUGGAAAGAUUUUGGCAAAUGUGUAAGAUGCUUCCCAUUGUACUUUGCGCUCCAUGAACCCCUG
Molecule: RNA transcript, 1160 nt
Organism: Phymastichus coffea
Lineage: Eukaryota; Metazoa; Arthropoda; Insecta; Hymenoptera; Eulophidae
Gene name: ras-related protein Rab-24-like
Exons: 7
Source: RefSeq, a predicted model, not a curated record